ACAUGAUAAGUCGCCCUUUAAUUGUGGGCUUGUAUGAAAGGACAAACGAAGGCUUUCCUGUCUCAAUAAUAUUUAUAAAAAUUGGCCUUCAGGUGAAAAGACCUGAAUAAUACUAGAGGACAAAAAGACCCCGUAGAGCUCCGUAUUUAAGUAACACCUUAUUUAAUUCCCGCCGAAUAUAAAACACAUUAACUAAAAAUACUUGGCUGGGGCGGCUAUGGAAAAAACAACUUCCACAUAUCUACAUCAGAUUUACACAUCUAUUAAAAACUAUGAUCCUUAUUAAGAUCAAAGAAACUAGCUACCUCGGGGAAACAGACUAAUCCCUUUUGAGAGUUCACAUUGACAAAGGGCUUUGGCACCUCGAUGUUGGCUUAGGGUAACCAUCGGAUUCGCAGCAGUCCGACAAGGUAGGUUUGUUCAACCUUUAAAACCCU
This 437-nucleotide ribosomal RNA is filed under the name Terebellides sp. ZMBN 116503. RNAcentral's name for it is "partial 16S ribosomal RNA". It matches the Rfam family "Bacterial large subunit ribosomal RNA", at positions 1956 to 2597 of the family's 2925-position model. RNAcentral also lists the same sequence under 1 other name. Lineage: Eukaryota; Metazoa; Annelida; Polychaeta; Terebellida; Trichobranchidae. The record is from RNAcentral.